CACUCGCUCGCCGCCGUGAAGUCGUGCACACGCCGUCCGCCGUAUACACUCACACUGAUACAAAUGUCGAUGAAGUUUAGAAGAAGCAUUUUAUGUGACAGGACUAAGUGAAUUUGUUUCGAGUGACGAGAAGAAAGAACUAUCCGCCAUUGGUGAUUGUAUCACGAGAUAGCAGCGAGACGAUGAGAUGGAGAUACAGAGAGACACCGAAGACGACAUAGAUGAUAGAGCGUGAGAUGGAUGGCUACAAACAUGGAUUAAAUCUGAAUCUCGCAACUACGGUAUACGGUGACGUCACAUCACCGACGGCACAUGCAGAAAAGACGAAGUCUGUAGCCACUCGGUCUUCCUAUAGCUUUGGCCUUGACAGAUAUGUUGCUGCAUGGCACGGGUUUCGCGCUAAAGACUGUAGAACGUCAGCAACGAUUGUACAAGUGAAGAAAGAGUGUUGUGUUCUUGCAUGCUUGCGCGCGAGUGCGUUUGUGUGUGCGGGUGUGAGUGUGAG
Long non-coding RNA from Priapulus caudatus, 505 nucleotides. RefSeq lists it as uncharacterized. The transcript is spliced from 3 exons. Lineage: Eukaryota; Metazoa; Priapulida; Priapulimorpha; Priapulimorphida; Priapulidae. The record is from RefSeq and is a predicted model, not a curated record.